CCUACGGGAGGCAGCAGUGGGGAAUUUUGGACAAUGGGGGCAACCCUGAUCCAGCCAUGCCGCGUGAGUGAAGAAGGCCUUCGGGUUGUAAAGCUCUUUCGGCCGGAACGAAAUCGCGCACGUGAAUAACGUGCGUGGAUGACGGUACCGGAGUAAGAAGCACCGGCUAACUACGUGCCAGCAGCCGCGGUAAUACGUAGGGUGCGAGCGUUAAUCGGAAUUACUGGGCGUAAAGCGUGCGCAGGCGGUUCGCUAAGUCAGACGUGAAAGCCCCGGGCUUAACCUGGGAACGGCGUUUGAAACUGGCGGGCUCGAGUACGGCAGAGGGGGGUGGAAUUCCACGUGUAGCAGUGAAAUGCGUAGAUAUGUGGAGGAACACCGAUGGCGAAGGCAGCCCCCUGGGCCGAUACUGACGCUCAUGCACGAAAGCGUGGGGAGCAAACAGGAUUAGAUACCCUGGUAGUCCACGCCCUAAACUAUGUCAACUAGUUGUCGGGGAAGCAAUUCCUUGGUAACGCAGCUAACGCGUGAAGUUGACCGCCUGGGGAGUACGGUCGCAAGAUUAAAACUUAAAUGAAUUGACGG
This 585-nucleotide ribosomal RNA is filed under the name uncultured bacterium. RNAcentral's name for it is "bacterial SSU rRNA". It matches the Rfam family "Bacterial small subunit ribosomal RNA", at positions 338 to 916 of the family's 1533-position model. The record is from RNAcentral.